UGGGGAAUAUUGGACAAUGGGCGAAAGCCUGAUCCAGCCAUGCCGCGUGUGUGAAGAAGGUCUUCGGAUUGUAAAGCACUUUACGUUGGGAGGAAGGGCAGUAAGCGAAUACCUUGCUGUUUUGACGUUACCGACAGAAUAAGCACCGGCUAACUCUGUGCCAGCAGCCGCGGUAAUACAGAGGGUGCAAGCGUUAAUUGAAUUACUGGGCGUAAAGCGCGCGUAGGUGGUUCGUUAAGUUGAAUGUGAAAGCCCCGGGCUCAACCUGGGAACUGCAUCCAGAACAGGCGAGCUAGAGUAGGGCAGGGGGUGGUGGAAUUUCCUGUGUAGCGGUGAAAUGCGUAGAUAUAGGAAGGAACACCAGUGGCGAAGGCGACCACCUGGGCUCAUACUGACACUGAGGUGCGAAAGCGUGGGGAGCAAACAGG
This 428-nucleotide ribosomal RNA is filed under the name Pseudomonadota bacterium. RNAcentral's name for it is "Proteobacteria bacterium partial 16S ribosomal RNA". It matches the Rfam family "Bacterial small subunit ribosomal RNA", at positions 355 to 776 of the family's 1533-position model. The record is from RNAcentral. Lineage: Bacteria; Pseudomonadati; Pseudomonadota.